Long non-coding RNA from Perognathus longimembris pacificus (Pacific pocket mouse), 215 nucleotides. RefSeq lists it as uncharacterized. The record is from RefSeq and is a predicted model, not a curated record. Lineage: Eukaryota; Metazoa; Chordata; Mammalia; Rodentia; Heteromyidae. The transcript is spliced from 2 exons.
UUUCAUUUUACAAAGUUAACUGAUCCUUAACAGUUUUACUUUGGGGAAAUAUGUUGUACAGAUUAUUACAGCUAUCCUAGAUUUUCAGAGUUAAGUGUAAGUAUAUAUGUAUGCAUAUAUAUGUUAAGUAUAAGUAUAUACAUAGGUAUAUAUAUGUAUAAAUGUAUACACAAAAAAGGCAGGAAGCAAGCAAGAGAAUAUAAGCAACAGAACAA